GACGAACGCUGGCGGCGUGCUUAACGCAUGCAAGUCGAACGGAAAGGCCCUGCUUUUGUGGGGUGCUCGAGUGGCGAACGGGUGAGUAACACGUGAGUAACCUGCCCUUGACUUUGGGAUAACUUCAGGAAACUGGGGCUAAUACCGGAUAGGAGCUCCUGCUGCAUGGUGGGGGUUGGAAAGUUUCGGCGGUUGGGGAUGGACUCGCGGCUUAUCAGCUUGUUGGUGGGGUAGUGGCUUACCAAGGCUUUGACGGGUAGCCGGCCUGAGAGGGUGACCGGCCACAUUGGGACUGAGAUACGGCCCAGACUCCUACGGGAGGCAGCAGUGGGGAAUAUUGCACAAUGGGCGGAAGCCUGAUGCAGCAACGCCGCGUGCGGGAUGACGGCCUUCGGGUUGUAAACCGCUUUCGCCUGUGACGAAGCGUGAGUGACGGUAAUGGGCAAAGAAGCACCGGCUAACUACGUG
RNAcentral lists this ribosomal RNA (468 nucleotides) under uncultured bacterium. RNAcentral's name for it is "partial 16S ribosomal RNA". It matches the Rfam family "Bacterial small subunit ribosomal RNA", at positions 28 to 507 of the family's 1533-position model. The record is from RNAcentral.